GACACGCUGGCGGCGUGCCUAACACAUGCAAGUUCGAGCGGAGAUACAUGAAGAGCAAUCUGAGUGUAUCUGAGCGGCGGACGGGUGAGUAACGCGUGAGCAACCUGCCUUUUACAGGGGAAUAACGCACCGAAAGGUGCACUAAUACCGCAUGAGACCACAGUGCCACAUGACACAGGGGUUAAAGGAGCAAUCCGGUAGAAGAUGGGCUCGCGUCCGAUUAGGUAGUUGGUGGGGUAAAGGCCUACCAAGCCUGAGAUCGGUAGCCGACCUGAGAGGGUGAUCGGCCACACUGGAACUGAGAGACGGUCCAGACUCCUACGGGAGGCAGCAGUGGGGAAUAUUGGGCAAUGGGGGAAACCCUGACCCAGCAACGCCGCGUGAGGGAAGAAGGUUUUCGGAUUGUAAACCUCUGUUCUUGGAGAAGAGAAGAAGACGGUAUCCAAGGAGGAAGCCCCGGCUAACUACGUG
Molecule: ribosomal RNA, 471 nt
Filed under: uncultured bacterium
Lineage: Bacteria
Description: bacterial SSU rRNA
Rfam family: Bacterial small subunit ribosomal RNA
Source: RNAcentral